RNAcentral lists this transfer RNA (73 nucleotides) under Lagocephalus wheeleri (brown-backed toadfish). RNAcentral's name for it is "Leu(UUR)". It matches the Rfam family "tRNA". From Rfam's summary of the family: Transfer RNA (tRNA) molecules are approximately 80 nucleotides in length. The record is from RNAcentral. RNAcentral also lists the same sequence under 1 other name. Lineage: Eukaryota; Metazoa; Chordata; Actinopteri; Tetraodontiformes; Tetraodontidae.
GUUAGGGUGGCAGAGCCCGGACAUGCAAAAGACCUAAGCCCUUUGAAUAGAGGUUCAAAUCCUCUCCCUAACU